ACCUGUGUAGCUCAGUUGGUAGAGCGGAGGACUGUAGAUCCUUAGGUCGCUGGUUCGAAUCCGGCUCGACGGAUU
Molecule: transfer RNA, 75 nt
Filed under: Caenorhabditis brenneri
Lineage: Eukaryota; Metazoa; Nematoda; Chromadorea; Rhabditida; Rhabditidae
Also listed under: 1 other name
Description: tRNA-Tyr (GTA) (tRNA-Tyr-GTA-3-1)
Rfam family: tRNA (bases 8-65)
About the family: Transfer RNA (tRNA) molecules are approximately 80 nucleotides in length. Their secondary structure includes four short double-helical elements and three loops (D, anti-codon, and T loops).
Source: RNAcentral